GAAGUGCACAUUCAGUGGGGCAGGACCAGGAGGAGGUGCGCACUCAGUGGGGCAGGACCAGGAGGUGGUGCACACUCAGUGUGGGCAGGACCAGGAGGAGGUGCACACUCAGUUGGGGCAGGACCAGGAGGAGGUGCACACUCAGUGUGGGCAGGACCAGGAGGAGGUGCACACUCAGUGUGGGCAGGACCAGGAGGAGGUGCACACUCAGUGGGGCAGGACCAGGAGGAGAUGCACACUCAAUGGGGCAGGACCAGGAGGAGGUGCACACUCAGUGGGGCAGGACCAGGAGGAGGUGCACACUCAAUGUGGGCAGGAGGUGGCAACCUUGUUA
This is a long non-coding RNA of Acomys russatus (golden spiny mouse), 334 nucleotides long. RefSeq lists it as uncharacterized. The transcript is spliced from 3 exons. The record is from RefSeq and is a predicted model, not a curated record. Lineage: Eukaryota; Metazoa; Chordata; Mammalia; Rodentia; Muridae.